GUGGGGAAUAUUGGACAAUGGGCGAAAGCCUGAUCCAGCCAUGCCGCGUGUGUGAAGAAGGUCUUCGGAUUGUAAAGCACUUUAAGUUGGGAGGAAGGGCAGUAAGUUAAUACCUUGCUGUUUUGACGUUACCGACAGAAUAAGCACCGGCUAACUUCGUGCCAGCAGCCGCGGUAAUACGAAGGGUGCAAGCGUUAAUCGGAAUUACUGGGCGUAAAGCGCGCGUAGGUGGUUUUGUAAGUUGGAGGUGAAAUCCCCGGGCUCAACCUGGGAACUGCCUCCAAAACUGCAUGACUAGAGUACGGUAGAGGGUAGUGGAAUUUCCUGUGUAGCGAUGAAAUGCGUAGAUAUAGGAAGGAACACCAGUGGCGAAGGCGACUACCUGGACUGAUACUGACACUGAGGUGCGAAAGCGUGGGGAGCAAACAGGAUUAGAAACCCCGGUAGUCC
Molecule: ribosomal RNA, 450 nt
Filed under: uncultured bacterium
Lineage: Bacteria
Description: partial 16S ribosomal RNA
Rfam family: Bacterial small subunit ribosomal RNA
Source: RNAcentral